Molecule: long non-coding RNA, 1065 nt
Filed under: Struthio camelus australis
Lineage: Eukaryota; Metazoa; Chordata; Aves; Struthioniformes; Struthionidae
Description: lncRNA (ENSSCUG00000008269.1)
Source: RNAcentral
GAAAUGAGGGCUUGCAGAGUGGUCUGAAUACAGACGUCAUUUGCAGGUUGCUGGAGAGUUUCUUGGUUGCUUUCCACAACCUUUGUGGUUGGGUUAGGUCACAGCCCUCCUCCCUAACUCUUUCUUUUCUCUUUUUUCUCUUCCCCUCCCUCCCUCGCUCUGAGUUUUCUACAAAGCUGCCUUUCUGCAUCCCUACUCAUUUCCCAAGGAAGCAACCUGGGUCUUUCGUGGCUGGGGGGCAGCAGGCACCGGCUGCUCUUGCCGAAGGGGCUGCUCUGGUGCAUCCUCGUGCUCGCUGGUCCAGGACACACAGCUAAAGAGGUGCUAACGCCUGGGAACAUUUCUGCAACCAGAGGCAGCAAUGUCACCUUGCACUGCUGCAUGGUACUAUCUGCUGCUAUCGUCUCCUUGGUGAGCUGGAACCAAUGCAACGGCAUUGACCUGGUGGUCUGCCUGAACGAAGACACAGCCAACAUCUGCCCAGCAUUCAGGGAAAAGAUCUCUCUGGCAGCAGAGUAUGGGAUUACACUCCACUUACUGGGACUCAAUAACACUGGGGAUUACUGCUGUAAAUUCCACAUCUUCCCUUUUGGAGUAUUAUGAAGGCAGGAUGUUCCUGGAAGUGACAGCAGAAUCAGCACAGCCUGCCUUUUGCACCGUCCAUCCCUCAGUACUCAUCUGCCUGAUAGGAGGAGCACUCUGUGCCAUGUGUCUUGUCUUCUGGCUCACCAGGGCAAAGCUCUGUUUGGGGUCUUGCAAACAUUGAGUGAAAGCCCUUAUUGAAGAAGCCCAGCUGGACUAACAGCGAGCAGCCUUGGGAGGGUGCUCCUCGAUGCCGGGAGGGCGACAAGACGAGGGACCGUUACGAACGGCAAGGAGGAACGAGGCCUCCCAGCUAGGAGGUCAGGCAGGAGGAAGCCUAGCGGCUCGACUUCCCACCCCACCACCGCGUGGCCACCACUGCAGUAGAGCUACCACGGGUCUGUGGGACCAGUGGCAGUCUUGCACCUGACACCCGCCUUCCAUCAUCUUCUCCAAAGAAAAAUAAACCCACAAAGACACCUG